CCUACGGGUGGCAGCAGUGGGGAAUAUUGCACAAUGGAGGAAACCCUGAUGCAGCGACGCCGCGUGAGUGAAGACGGAUUUCGGUAUGUAAAGCUCUAUCAGCAGGGGAGAAAAUGACGGUACCUGAUUAAGAAGCCCCGGCUAACUACGUGCCAGCAGCCGCGGUAAUACGUAGGGGGCAAGCGUUAUCCGGAUUUACUGGGUGUAAAGGGGGCGUAGACGGCAGGACAAGUCUGGAGUGAAAUGCCGGGGCUUAACCCCGGAACUGCCUUGGAAACUGUGCAGCUAGAGUGCAGGUGAGGUAAGUGGAAUGCAUGGUGUAGCGGUGAAAUGCGUAGAGAUCAGGCGGAACACCAGUGGCGAAGGCGGCUUACUGGACUGUAACUGACGUUGAGGCUCGAAAGCGUGGGGAGCAAACAGGAUUAGAUACCCUUGUAGUC
RNAcentral lists this ribosomal RNA (440 nucleotides) under uncultured bacterium. Its description in RNAcentral is "partial 16S ribosomal RNA". It matches the Rfam family "Bacterial small subunit ribosomal RNA", at positions 338 to 795 of the family's 1533-position model. The record is from RNAcentral.